UACGGAGGGAGCGAGCGUUGUCCGAAGUUACUGGGCGUAAAGCGCGCGUAGGCGGGAAAUUAAGUGAGAAGUGAAAGGCUGGGGCUUAACCCCAUGCAGUGCUCCUCAUACUGGUUUUCUUGAGGGUGGUAGAGAGAAGUGGAAUGGCUGGUGUAGCGGUGAAAUGCGUAGAUAUCUGAAGGAACAUCAGUGGCGAAAGCGACUUCCUGGACCAAUACUGACGCUCAUGUGCGAAAGCGUGGGGAGCAAACAGG
This 254-nucleotide ribosomal RNA is filed under the name uncultured bacterium. RNAcentral's name for it is "partial 16S ribosomal RNA". It matches the Rfam family "Bacterial small subunit ribosomal RNA", at positions 524 to 776 of the family's 1533-position model. The record is from RNAcentral.